AACGAGCGCAACCCCUGCAUUCAGUUGCCAUCGGGUAGGAGCCGGGCACUCUGGAAGGACUGCCAUCGACAAGAUGGAGGAAGUGGGGAGUGACGUCAAGUCAUCAUGGCCCUUAUGUCCAGGGCGACACACGUGCUACAAUGGCCGGCACAACGGGAAGCGAGUUCGCGAGGACAAGCGGAUCCCUCAAAGCCGGUCGCAGUUCGGAUUGAAGUCUGCAACUCGACUUCAUGAAGCUGGAAUCGCUAGUAAUCGUGGAUCAGCCAAGCCGCGGUGAAUACGUUCCCGGGCCUU
Molecule: ribosomal RNA, 294 nt
Filed under: uncultured Synergistaceae bacterium
Lineage: Bacteria; Thermotogati; Synergistota; Synergistia; Synergistales; Synergistaceae
Description: partial 16S ribosomal RNA
Rfam family: Bacterial small subunit ribosomal RNA
Source: RNAcentral